Molecule: ribosomal RNA, 247 nt
Filed under: uncultured bacterium
Lineage: Bacteria
Description: partial 16S ribosomal RNA
Rfam family: Bacterial small subunit ribosomal RNA
Source: RNAcentral
AUACGGAGGAUCCGAGGGUUAUCCGGAUUUAUUGGGUUUAAAGGGUGCGCAGGCGGGAGAUUAAGUCGGCGGUGAAAUUUUGCAGCUUAACUGUAAAAGUGCCUUCGAAACUGGUUUCCUUGAGUGUAGAUGAAGUAGGCGGAAUUUGUGGUGUAGCGGUGAAAUGCAUAGAUAUCACGAGGAACUCCGAUUGCGAAGGCAGCUUACUAAGCUACAACUGACACUGAAGCACGAAAGCGUGGGGAUC